Sorex araneus (European shrew) is the source of this 127-nucleotide small nucleolar RNA. RefSeq annotates it as small nucleolar RNA SNORA27. NCBI's taxonomy places the organism in Eukaryota, Metazoa, Chordata, Mammalia, Eulipotyphla, Soricidae. The transcript has a single exon. The record is from RefSeq and is a predicted model, not a curated record.
AUGGCCCCCCUCGCUUUGCCAACUGAACUUAUGUCUUUACUAGCCAUUCAUGCGGGGCAAAGGAAGUGUUCUGUCCAAACUCAAGAAAACUGGGUGUUUGCUUUAGAACCUGUCAGAGGGAGUAACA